CUUUUGAUAUUAAUAAUUUAAGGUCUGGCCUGCCCAAUGAGUUGUUUAAAUGGCCGCGGUAUUUUGACCGUGCAAAGGUAGCAUAAUCAAUAGUUUUUUAAUUGAAAGCUGGAAUGAAGGGUUGGAUGAAAAAGUUACUGUCUCUAUUUAAAUUUUUUUGAAUUUUAUAUUUAAGUCAAAAAGCUUAAAUGUUUUUAGAAGACGAGAAGACCCUAUAGAGUUUUAUUAAUUUGUUAGAAGGGGGUUUUAGUAUUUAUAUUUUUUUAUVGUACAUUAAUUUAGUUGGGGUGAUUAAAAAAUAUAAUAAACUUUUUUUGUAGAUAUACAUUAAUUUAUGAUUAAUUGAUCCUUUAGUUUAAGAUUAUAAGAUUAAAUUACCUUAGGGAUAACAGCGUAAUUUUUUUAGAGAGUUCUUAUCGAUAAAAAAGAUUGCGACCUCGAUGUUGGAUUAAAAUAAAAAUUUGGUGUAGAAGCUAAA
This 478-nucleotide ribosomal RNA is filed under the name Myllorhinus sp. JR-2002. RNAcentral describes it as "partial 16S ribosomal RNA". It matches the Rfam family "Bacterial large subunit ribosomal RNA", at positions 1822 to 2566 of the family's 2925-position model. The record is from RNAcentral. Lineage: Eukaryota; Metazoa; Arthropoda; Insecta; Coleoptera; Curculionidae.